RNAcentral lists this transfer RNA (69 nucleotides) under Ictidomys tridecemlineatus (thirteen-lined ground squirrel). RNAcentral describes it as "Spermophilus tridecemlineatus (thirteen-lined ground squirrel) tRNA". It matches the Rfam family "tRNA". Rfam says of the family: Transfer RNA (tRNA) molecules are approximately 80 nucleotides in length. Their secondary structure includes four short double-helical elements and three loops (D, anti-codon, and T loops). Further hydrogen bonds mediate the characteristic L-shaped molecular structure. tRNAs have two regions of fundamental functional importance: the anti-codon, which is responsible for specific mRNA codon recognition, and the 3' end, to which the tRNAs corresponding amino acid is attached (by aminoacyl-tRNA synthetases). tRNAs cope with the degeneracy of the genetic code in two manners: having more than one tRNA (with a specific anti-codon) for a particular amino acid; and 'wobble' base-pairing, i.e. permitting non-standard base-pairing at the 3rd anti-codon position. Lineage: Eukaryota; Metazoa; Chordata; Mammalia; Rodentia; Sciuridae. The record is from Rfam by way of RNAcentral.
GGGGCUGUGGCUCAAUGGUAGAGCAUUUGCCUAGCAUGUGUGAGGCACUGGGUUCAAUUCUCAGCACCA